This is a long non-coding RNA of Phyllopteryx taeniolatus (common seadragon), 205 nucleotides long. RefSeq lists it as uncharacterized. The record is from RefSeq and is a predicted model, not a curated record. The transcript is spliced from 2 exons. Lineage: Eukaryota; Metazoa; Chordata; Actinopteri; Syngnathiformes; Syngnathidae.
CUACGAUCCAAGUAGCAAUAGGGACUUCCUGACACAAGACGACUCUCUUCUCCCUCCAGGAGCUUUCUGUUUUUGGAGACAACAUGGAAGCAUUGAGAAGUGCAAUGAGCGACAUACAUUAUUAAAUCAGGACACCAACCUCUCUGAGUCCAAAUGAUUGAUGGUGUCCUGUGGAAUAAACACAAAAUAUGACAUGCAGAAUGAA